GACGAACGCUGGCGGCGUGCUUAACACAUGCAAGUCGAACGGAAAGGCCUGCUUUCCCUUGUGGAUUGCGGGUGCUCGAGUGGCGAACGGGUGAGUAACACGUGAGUGAUCUGCCCCCAACUUGGGUAUAAGCCUGGGAAACUGGGUCUAAUUCCCGAUAGGACUGCAGGGUGGUGCCUGUGGUGGAAAACGAUUUUCUAGUGGUUGGGGAUGAGCUCGCGGCCUAUCAGCUUGUUGGUGGGGUAAAGGCCUACCAAGGCGGCGACGGGUAGCCGGCCGGAGAGGGUGGACGGCGACAUUGGGACAGAGACACGACCCAGACUCGUACGGGAGGCAGCGGUGGGGAAUAUUGGACAAUGGGCGGAAGCCUGAUGCAGCGACGGCGCGUGGGGGAUGACGGCCUUCGGGUUGUAAACUCCUUUCGACCGCGAGGAAGCCACCUGGUUGGAAGGGUGGUGACGGUAGUGGUAGAAGAAGCACCGGCUAACUACGUG
Molecule: ribosomal RNA, 494 nt
Filed under: uncultured bacterium
Lineage: Bacteria
Description: partial 16S ribosomal RNA
Rfam family: Bacterial small subunit ribosomal RNA
Source: RNAcentral